AAGUCUGACGGAGCAACGCCGCGUGAGUGAUGAAGGCUUUCGGGUCGUAAAACUCUGUUGUUAGGGAAGAACAAGUACGAGAGUAACUGCUCGUACCUUGACGGUACCUAACCAGAAAGCCACGGCUAACUACGUGCCAGCAGCCGCGGUAAUACGUAGGUGGCAAGCGUUAUCCGGAAUUAUUGGGCGUAAAGCGCGCGCAGGCGGUUUCUUAAGUCUGAUGUGAAAGCCCACGGCUCAACCGUGGAGGGUCAUUGGAAACUGGGGAACUUGAGUGCAGAAGAGAAAAGCGGAAUUCCACGUGUAGCGGUGAAAUGCGUAGAGAUGUGGAGGAACACCAGUGGCCAAAGCGGUUUUUUGGUCUGUAACUGACGCUGAAGCGCGAAAGCGGGGGGAGCAAACAGAUUAGAUACCCUGGUUACCCACGCCGUUAAUCUUCAGUGCUAAGUUUUAGAGGGAUUCCGCCCCUUCUUGCUGGAGCUACGGCAUUAAACCUUCCGACUGGGGAAAAAUGCCGCAAGAUAGAACCUCAGGGGGGAAUUGACGG
This 547-nucleotide ribosomal RNA is filed under the name Priestia aryabhattai. RNAcentral describes it as "bacterial SSU rRNA". It matches the Rfam family "Bacterial small subunit ribosomal RNA", at positions 379 to 916 of the family's 1533-position model. The record is from RNAcentral. Lineage: Bacteria; Bacillati; Bacillota; Bacilli; Caryophanales; Bacillaceae.